UAACUAUCGAGGAAGCGUAUCAAAGAAAGCAAAAGUAUGACCGAAAAGACCCAAGGGCAACAGUAAUUGAUGACAAAAUCAUACAGUUUAUUACGCUUGACGACCAGCCUUUUUCAAUCGUUGAAGACGUAGGAUUUUGUCAGCUAAUGCGGCACGUUGAACCCCGCUAGGAAAUAUAUAAACAUGUUAUCCAUGAAUUAUCGGUUUAUCAGUUUCUGUUGGCCAGAAAAAAUGGGUUAUCGGUUAUCUGUUAAAAAUUCUGUUAUCGUGCAUCACUA
Long non-coding RNA from Thalassophryne amazonica, 278 nucleotides. RefSeq lists it as uncharacterized. Lineage: Eukaryota; Metazoa; Chordata; Actinopteri; Batrachoidiformes; Batrachoididae. The transcript is spliced from 2 exons. The record is from RefSeq and is a predicted model, not a curated record.